AUUAAAGUAGUGUUUGCACAUUUUUAGACCUUUUAUUCUUGUUUUAGCUAUUAUAAUGUGCAUGUUUUAUGUCUGAGUAUUUAUUGGUACUAAAACUCAAGAUUUUGAGUCUACUUUCGAAAAACAACAAGAAACAGCCAGCUACAUCACACACUAUCACAGCCCUGGUUUUUGGUUUCCCCUGCCGGUUCCUGAAAGGACAAGGACUGUGUGCAGAGAAGUGAUGGCUGAGGCUGCUGGGGACUUUCCUGGACCAUGGCUGAUGUGUGACAGGUUGUUGCUGCCAGUUGUACAAUGCCUAGUUGAAGUUGAAACCACAACUUAUUAUCUCUUUCUGGUUCUCACAACCCUCACUGGCAUAUCCCUCUGAUGCACAGAAACCAUGCUCACGAAGGGUGGAGUGCUAAAAGGACUCCUAAAAGGUUUUCU
Molecule: long non-coding RNA, 429 nt
Organism: Salvelinus fontinalis (brook trout)
Lineage: Eukaryota; Metazoa; Chordata; Actinopteri; Salmoniformes; Salmonidae
Exons: 3
Source: RefSeq, a predicted model, not a curated record